GCCGCGUUGGCGUAGUGGUAGCGCGUCUCACUUGUAUCGAAGUAACGAGGGUUCCAUACAUAUGGAAUGAGAAGGUCACUCGUUCAAUCCGGGUACGUGGCA
This is a non-coding RNA of Asterophora parasitica, 102 nucleotides long. The record is from the annotation of a GenBank genome assembly. NCBI's taxonomy places the organism in Eukaryota, Fungi, Basidiomycota, Agaricomycetes, Agaricales, Lyophyllaceae.